UCUCGCGGCCUAUCAGCUUGUUGGUGAGGUAAUGGCUCACCAAGGCGACGACGGGUAGCCGGCCUGAGAGGGUGACCGGCCACACUGGGACUGAGACACGGCCCAGACUCCUACGGGAGGCAGCAGUGGGGAAUAUUGCACAAUGGGCGAAAGCCUGAUGCAGCGACGCCGCGUGAGGGAUGACGGCCUUCGGGUUGUAAACCUCUUUCAGUAGGGAAGAAGCGAAAGUGACGGUACCUGCAGAAGAAGCGCCGGCUAACUACGUGCCAGCAGCCGCGGUAAUACGUAGGGCGCAAGCGUUAUCCGGAAUUAUUGGGCGUAAAGAGCUCGUAGGCGGUUUGUCGCGUCUGCCGUGAAAGUCCGGGGCUCAACUCCGGAUCUGCGGUGGGUACGGGCAGACUAGAGUGAUGUAGGGGAGACUGGAAUUCCUGGUGUAGCGGUGAAAUGCGCAGAUAUCAGGAGGAACACCGAUGGCGAAGGCAGGUCUCUGGGCAUUAACUGACGCUGAGGAGCGAAAGCAUGGGGAGCGAACAGGAUUAGAUACCCUGGUAGUCCAUGCCGCAAACGUUGGGCACUAGGUGUGGGGGACAUUCCACGUUUUCCGCGCCGUAGCUAACGCAUUAAGUGCCCCGCCUGGGGAGUACGGAAGCUUGGAAUUCGC
Molecule: ribosomal RNA, 661 nt
Filed under: uncultured Arthrobacter sp.
Lineage: Bacteria; Bacillati; Actinomycetota; Actinomycetes; Micrococcales; Micrococcaceae
Description: bacterial SSU rRNA
Rfam family: Bacterial small subunit ribosomal RNA
Source: RNAcentral